This 1578-nucleotide ribosomal RNA is filed under the name Triticum aestivum (bread wheat). Its description in RNAcentral is "partial small subunit ribosomal RNA". Lineage: Eukaryota; Viridiplantae; Streptophyta; Magnoliopsida; Poales; Poaceae. The record is from RNAcentral.
AUGGUGAGGGUGUCGGUGGUGUGCUGCCUCAAGCUGCUGCUGCUGCUCGCCCUCGGCGGGGUCACCAUGCACGUGCCGGACGCGGGCGUGCUGGCGCCGCUGCGCCUCGACGGCUACCUCAGCUUCCACGACGUGGCCGCCGCGGCCCGUGACUUCGGCAACCGCUGCAGCCUGCUGCCGGCCGCCGUGCUGCACCCGGGUUCCGUGGCCGAUGUUGCCUCUGCCGUGCGCCGCGUGUUCCAGCUCGGCGAGCGCUCCCCGCUCACGGUCGCCGCGCGCGGCCACGGGCACUCGCUGCUGGGCCAGUCACAGACCGCCGGCGGGAUCGUCGUCCGGAUGGAGUCCCUCGGGGGCGGCGCCAGGAUGAGGGUGCACGCCGGCGGCGCAGGUGCCGAUGCGCCUGCCUACGUCGACGCCCCCGGAGGCGCGCUCUGGAUCAACGUGCUGCAUGAGACGCUCAAGCACGGGCUGGCGCCCAAGUCGUGGACCGACUACCUCCAUUUGACAGUCGGCGGCACCUUGUCGAAUGCCGGGGUCAGCGGCCAGGCGUUCCGGCAAGGACCGCAGGUCAGCAAUGUCAACCAGCUGGAGAUUGUGACAGGGAGAGGAGAUGUGGUCACCUGCUCGCCCGAGGAGAACUCCGACCUUUUCUACGGCGCUCUCGGCGGCCUGGGCCAGUUCGGCAUCAUCACCAGAGCCAGGAUCGCCCUCGAACCUGCACCCAAGAUGGUGAGGUGGAUCCGGGUUCUCUACUCGGACUUCGCGAGCUUCACCGAGGACCAGGAGGCGCUGAUCUCGGCGGAGAGGACCUUCGAUUACAUCGAGGGGUUCGUGAUCAUCAACCGGACGGGCAUCCUCAACAACUGGAGGACGUCGUUCAAGCCGCAGGACCCGGUGCAGGCGAGCCACUUCCAGUCGGACGGGAAGGUGCUCUACUGCCUUGAGAUGACCAAGAACUUCGACCCUGAUGAGGCUGACAUCAUGGAACAGGAGGUUGGUGUGCUGCUGUCUCGGCUGAGAUACAUACAGUCAACCCUCUUCCACACCGAUGUCACGUACCUCGAGUUCCUGGACAGGGUGCACUCCUCCGAGCUCAAGCUCAGGGCCCAGGGCCUCUGGGAGGUUCCACACCCAUGGCUCAACCUCCUGAUCCCGAGAAGCACCAUCCACCGGUUCGCGACGGAGGUCUUCGGCAACAUCCUGAAAGACAGCAACAAUGGCCCCAUCCUCCUCUACCCAGUAAACAGAUCAAAGUGGGACAACAGGACGUCAGUGGUGAUACCGGAGGAAGAAAUCUUCUACCUGGUGGGGUUCCUGUCGUCCGCACCGUCGGCCUCAGGCCACGGCAGCGUCGAGCAUGCGGUGAGCCUCAACGACAAGAUCGUAGACUUCUGCGACAAGGCGGGCGUCGGGAUGAAGCAGUACCUAGCGCCCUACACCACACAGCAGCAGUGGAAAGCCCACUUCGGGGCGAGGUGGGAGACAUUUGAGCGGAGGAAACACAUGUAUGAUCCCCUAGCAAUCCUAGCCCCAGGACAGAGAAUAUUUCCAAAGGCGUCGCUGCCCAUGUCCUCAUGA